Molecule: microRNA precursor, 87 nt
Filed under: Choloepus hoffmanni (Hoffmann's two-fingered sloth)
Lineage: Eukaryota; Metazoa; Chordata; Mammalia; Pilosa; Megalonychidae
Description: miRNA (ENSCHOG00000015970.1)
Source: RNAcentral
AGUGGAAUUGCUGGGUCAUAUGGUAACUCUAUAUUUAGUGUUUUGAGGAACUGCCAGACAGCUUUUCAAAGCAGCUGCACCAUUUCC